Molecule: long non-coding RNA, 738 nt
Organism: Poecilia reticulata (guppy)
Lineage: Eukaryota; Metazoa; Chordata; Actinopteri; Cyprinodontiformes; Poeciliidae
Source: RefSeq, a predicted model, not a curated record
GGCCACAUAGAGAGCAGCAUGGGAGAGAGUGAGAAACCACGAGUCACACAGAUGACAGACAAGCAGUAAGACGGCAAGUAACAUGGUUGGAAAAAAAAAAGUCAAACCGUUUGGAGAAUAAGGCUUUUAGUGACCAAGGAGACAAAGACACAGCUCAUGAAAACAAGCUAGACGUCUGGCCCCAUGGAAGGGUGUGAAGCUCUCACCUCUUGCUGAAUUGUAGCGCCGAAGUGUUUGGUUGGUCUGACAAAGGGGUCUCUCCCUGCAUGGAUGGGUUACACAAACAAUGUGAGAUGAGGUAAACAUAGUGAGGGCCUAUAGGUCAUCAAUCAUGUUUACAUGGGAUGAAGGUGUAACAAUUCAUCAGCGCUGGUUUCAUAAGACAGGACAAAGUAGCUGAUGGUGAAAAUGACUAAGUUGUGAUUGUUAUCACGUAAACACAGACUAAGUUGUGGCUGUAAGCUUAAGAUUAAAAUAAUAUAUGACAUGUUCAGCACUGUACUGCAACAGGAAAUUGCUUUAAGACCUGCAGGUGUGUUUAAAUAAACUAGAUAACUAAAACAAAGUGAAAACAGAAGAGAAAUAAUAAGACAAAUAGUCAUGCCAGUUGACAUGCCAAUUUCUUCCAAAUGAAAAGCAGGAGGAGGAUCUGAUGACUUCCUGUCCUGUCUCAUACAUAUCAACAUUUAAGCAACAUUUAAGCAUCACCAAACCAGAUAAACAUCCAUUCAAAAAGGG